GCCUGAGUGGCUCAGUCGGUUGAGCAUCUGACUUUGGCUCAGGCCAUGAUCUCAUAGCUCGUGAGUUCGAGCCCCGUGUUGGGCU
This 85-nucleotide transfer RNA is filed under the name Felis catus (domestic cat). It matches the Rfam family "tRNA". Rfam says of the family: Transfer RNA (tRNA) molecules are approximately 80 nucleotides in length. Their secondary structure includes four short double-helical elements and three loops (D, anti-codon, and T loops). Lineage: Eukaryota; Metazoa; Chordata; Mammalia; Carnivora; Felidae. The record is from Rfam by way of RNAcentral.